This 364-nucleotide ribosomal RNA is filed under the name uncultured Helicobacter sp. RNAcentral describes it as "bacterial SSU rRNA". It matches the Rfam family "Bacterial small subunit ribosomal RNA", at positions 284 to 665 of the family's 1533-position model. The record is from RNAcentral. Lineage: Bacteria; Pseudomonadati; Campylobacterota; Epsilonproteobacteria; Campylobacterales; Helicobacteraceae.
UAUCCGGCCUGAGAGGGUGAACGGACACACUGGAACUGAGACACGGUCCAGACUCCUACGGGAGGCAGCAGUAGGGAAUAUUGCUCAAUGGGCGCAAGCCUGAAGCAGCAACGCCGCGUGGAGGAUGAAGGUUUUAGGAUUGUAAACUCCUUUUGUGAGAGAAGAUAAUGACGGUAUCUCACGAAUAAGCACCGGCUAACUCCGUGCCAGCAGCCGCGGUAAUACGGAGGGUGCAAGCGUUACUCGGAAUCACUGGGCGUAAAGAGUGCGUAGGCGGGGUUGUAAGUCAGGUGUGAAAUCCUAUGGCUUAACCAUAGAACUGCAUUUGAAACUACAACUCUGGAGUGUGGGAGAGGUAGGUGGA